UGGGGAAUAUUGGACAAUGGGCGAAAGCCUGAUCCAGCCAUGCCGCGUGUGUGAAGAAGGUCUUCGGAUUGUAAAGCACUUUAAGUUGGGAGGAAGGGCAGUAAGCGAAUACCUUGCUGUUUUGACGUUACCGACAGAAUAAGCACCGGCUAACUCUGUGCCAGCAGCCGCGGUAAUACAGAGGGUGCAAGCGUUAAUCGGAAUUACUGGGCGUAAAGCGCGCGUAGGUGGUUCGUUAAGUUGAAUGUGAAAGCCCCGGCCUCAACCUGGGAACUGCAUCCAAAACUGGCGAGCUAGAGUAGGGCAGAGGGUGGUGGAAUUUCCUGUGUAGCGGUGAAAUGCGUAGAUAUAGGAAGGAACACCAGUGGCGAAGGCGACCACCUGGGCUCAUACUGACACUGAGGUGCGAAAGCGUGGGGAGCAAACAGG
Molecule: ribosomal RNA, 429 nt
Filed under: Pseudomonadota bacterium
Lineage: Bacteria; Pseudomonadati; Pseudomonadota
Description: Proteobacteria bacterium partial 16S ribosomal RNA
Rfam family: Bacterial small subunit ribosomal RNA
Source: RNAcentral